RNAcentral lists this transfer RNA (72 nucleotides) under Bos taurus (domestic cattle). It matches the Rfam family "tRNA". From Rfam's summary of the family: Transfer RNA (tRNA) molecules are approximately 80 nucleotides in length. Their secondary structure includes four short double-helical elements and three loops (D, anti-codon, and T loops). Further hydrogen bonds mediate the characteristic L-shaped molecular structure. tRNAs have two regions of fundamental functional importance: the anti-codon, which is responsible for specific mRNA codon recognition, and the 3' end, to which the tRNAs corresponding amino acid is attached (by aminoacyl-tRNA synthetases). tRNAs cope with the degeneracy of the genetic code in two manners: having more than one tRNA (with a specific anti-codon) for a particular amino acid; and 'wobble' base-pairing, i.e. permitting non-standard base-pairing at the 3rd anti-codon position. RNAcentral also lists the same sequence under 3 other names. The record is from Rfam by way of RNAcentral. Lineage: Eukaryota; Metazoa; Chordata; Mammalia; Artiodactyla; Bovidae.
UCCCUGGUGGCUCAGAGGUUAAAGCGUCUGCCUGCAAGGCAGGAGACCCAGGUUCAAUCCCUGGGUUGGGAA